RNAcentral lists this unclassified non-coding RNA (210 nucleotides) under uncultured Amanita. RNAcentral's name for it is "sequence contains ITS2". Lineage: Eukaryota; Fungi; Basidiomycota; Agaricomycetes; Agaricales; Amanitaceae. The record is from RNAcentral.
AAAUCUCAAGGCCUGUCUGAAUUUGAUAGGUAUUGGAUUUUGGGGGUUGCAGGCUUUUUUUUAAAAAAAAUAGCCUGCUCUCCUUGAAUGUAUUAGUGGAGAAAAGGCCAUUUGAACUCCAUUGGUGUGAUAUAAGCUAUCAAUGCCAGGAGUAUGUUGGUCCUAUCUGCUGUCUAACUGUUUGGAAAGACCCAGACAACUUGACCCAAC